AAAACUGACGUCUCAUUGGCUGGUUCCCACGCAGGCGCGAUUUAUGCAAAAGAAGCCCAUUUUUCCACGCUGAUUUGCUUUUGUCCAACACAUCUGCGGAGUGUGUACGGUGGACAGGCCCUCGGGAGGUGAUCUUGUGAACACUUGCUGAGGAUCCUUGAUGCCGAGUGCAGGAUGUUUCCUACCAGUUUGAAGCCAUGUCUGAAGGGUUCCGAGGUGGAAUGUUCUGCGCUGGCCGAUGGCGGCGUCGGGGGGGGGGGGCACUGCACCGCAUGCCCAUGGUGACGAGGAAACAGCUGACGCAGGCAACAACGGCAUAGACCAACAUCUGAAGGAUGACAGGUGAACAUUUAUUUUUACCUUGAGAUCCUUUAAUCAGCUAUUCAGUAAUUCUAUAUAACUCACCAAAAGUGGGAGUUGUGCCGUGCGAGCGAUCUUUGGAGACGCCAUGUUGGCGAUGAGGAUGCCCAGCGGGUUGGCUGUGGAGGAACAGCGGGCUAAAGAUGAUCACCUCCAUGUCAAGUGUCUCCCAUAAAAUUGCUCAUAGACACCUUGUAACUCACUUGGUCUGCCAGAGCAUAAGACCAUGUAGCAGGAAGGGAUCAGUGUUGCCAACGUAACCACUUUCUUGCUAUAUUGCGUAAUCAGACCUCUUUUUCCAAAAAGUGACUCAUCCAUUGGAAAGACUUUUGUAGACCAUGAAUGCAUGUGACCAGCGAGUGCAUCUGUGGGCCCCUCCCACAUCUAAAAUCACUCUAGGGAUGUAACCAUGAAUGGUAUUAAUGAUAACCGCGGUAAAACACCCCACAGUUAGUAUUACCAUUUUAAAGGGCGGUACAGCUUGGUUGGUAGAGCGGCCGUGCCAGCAACUUGAGGGU
Long non-coding RNA from Nerophis ophidion (straightnose pipefish), 878 nucleotides. RefSeq lists it as uncharacterized. Lineage: Eukaryota; Metazoa; Chordata; Actinopteri; Syngnathiformes; Syngnathidae. The record is from RefSeq and is a predicted model, not a curated record. The transcript is spliced from 3 exons.